This 272-nucleotide unclassified non-coding RNA is filed under the name Hevea brasiliensis (rubber tree). Lineage: Eukaryota; Viridiplantae; Streptophyta; Magnoliopsida; Malpighiales; Euphorbiaceae. The record is from RNAcentral.
GCUACUUUUCCCUUAAAAUUUGGAUCGUUUACUAGAGAGUUCUCUUUCUCUAUCUCUAUAGUAUUGCGAAGGUUGAAGUUGUUACAAUUGAAGAGGGUAAUGAGGCCGUCAAGCUGUGGCUGGGGAAUGUCAAUCUGCAUCUAUGAAAUUUUGUACAUGUAGGAGUCUGUUCAAGAGCUUUAUUUGCCAGAACAUACAUUUUCCGCGAGGAUGUUGCUCGAAUACUGUAUAUUCAUUUCGAAUGUCUCACUCCCAUCAAACACAUCGCUGGC